Oncorhynchus tshawytscha (Chinook salmon) is the source of this 612-nucleotide long non-coding RNA. RefSeq lists it as uncharacterized. The record is from RefSeq and is a predicted model, not a curated record. Lineage: Eukaryota; Metazoa; Chordata; Actinopteri; Salmoniformes; Salmonidae. The transcript has 4 exons.
UCUGUCAGCAUCACCCAACCCAACCACAUAUCCCUAAAGGUACACUCUGUCAGCAUCACCCAACCCAACCACAUAUCCCUAAAGGUACACUCUGUCAGCAUCACCCAACCACACAUCCCUAAAGGUACACUCUGUCAGCAUCACCCAACCACACAUCCCUCAAGGUACACUCUGUCAGCAUCACCCAACCACAUAUCCCUCAAGGUACACUCUGUCAGCAUCACCCAACCCAACCACAUAUCCCUAAAGGUACACUCUGUCAGCAUCACCCAACCCAACCACAUAUCCCUAAAGGUACACAGGAACAAUCUUUAAUUCAUUAGCCUAGUUAUUGGCAGUCAUCCAACUUAAAGGAUAAUGGAUAUCAAUCAACAGCAUUUAGAGUUGAUUAUUGAGCCCAAAUGAUUACUAGAGCCAGUCACACUGAAAUGAUCACUAGAACCAGUCACACUAACUGAAAUGAUCACUAGAACCAGUCGCACUAACUGAAAUGAUUACUAGAACCAGUCACACUAACUGAAAUGAUUACUAGAACCAGUCGCACUAACUGAAAUGAUCACUAGAACCAGUCGCACUAACUGAAAUGAUCACUAGAACCAGUCGCACUAACUG